AGAGUUUGAUCAUGGCUCAGGAUGAACGCUGGCGGCGUGCCUAACACAUGCAAGUCGAGCGAUUUACUCCGGUAAAGAGCGGCGGACGGGUGAGUAACGCGUGGGUAACCUGCCCUGUACACACGGAUAACAUACCGAAAGGUAUGCUAAUACGGGAUAAUAUGCUUUUAUCGCAUGGUAGAAGUAUCAAAGCUCCGGCGGUACAGGAUGGACCCGCGUCUGAUUAGCUAGUUGGUAAGGUAACGGCUUACCAAGGCGACGAUCAGUAGCCGACCUGAGAGGGUGAUCGGCCACAUUGGAACUGAGACACGGUCCAAACUCCUACGGGAGGCAGCAGUGGGGAAUAUUGCACAAUGGGCGGAAGCCUGAUGCAGCAACGCCGCGUGAGCGAUGAAGGCCUUCGGGUCGUAAAGCUCUGUCCUCAAGGAAGAUAAUGACGGUACUUGAGGAGGAGGCCCCGGCUAACUACGUGCCAGCAGCCGCGGUAAUACGUAGGGGGCUAGCGUUAUCCGGAAUUACUGGGCGUAAAGGGUGCGUAGGUGGUUUCUUAAGUCAGAGGUGAAAGGCUACGGCUCAACCGUAGUAAGCCUUUGAAACUGGGAAACUUGAGUGCAGGAGAGGAGAGUGGAAUUCCUAGUGUAGCGGUGAAAUGCGUAGAUAUUAGGAGGAACACCAGUUGCGAAGGCGGCUCUCUGGACUGUAACUGACACUGAGGCACGAAAGCGUGGGGAGCAAACAGGAUUAGAUACCCUGAUAGUCCACGCCGUAAACGAUGAGUACUAGCUGUCGGAGGUUACCCCCUUCGGUGGCGCAGCUAACGCAUUAAGUACUCCGCCUGGGAAGUACGCUCGCAAGAGUGAAACUCAAAGGAAUUGACGG
This 879-nucleotide ribosomal RNA is filed under the name uncultured bacterium. Its description in RNAcentral is "bacterial SSU rRNA". It matches the Rfam family "Bacterial small subunit ribosomal RNA", at positions 8 to 916 of the family's 1533-position model. The record is from RNAcentral.